AAAUAUUCCUGUACCGAUCAAUAGUGCGAUGUGGGGACGGAGAAGGUUAGCUCAGCCAACUGUUGGAUGUUGGUUCAAGCCUGUAGUCGUGCCUGGUAGGCAAAUCCGCCGGGCUUAGAUGAGGGGUGAUAACGAGUCUGCUUGCAGACGAAGUGAGUGAUACCCUGCUUCCAGGAAAAGCCACUAAGCUUCAGCUAUUGACGACCGUACCGCAAACCGACACUGGUGCGCGAGAUGAGUAUUCUAAGGCGCUUGAGAGAACUCAGGAGAAGGAACUCGGCAAAUUGACACCGUAACUUCGGGAGAAGGUGUGCCCUCAGUAGGUGAACCUGUACAAGGGGAGCCCAAAGGGGUUGCAAAGAAUCGGUGGCUGCGACUGUUUAUUAAAAACACAGCACUCUGCAAACACGAAAGUGGACGUAUAGGGUGUGACGCCUGCCCGGUGCUGGAAGAUUAAAUGAUGGGGUGCAAGCUCUUGAUUGAAGUCCCAGUAAACGGCGGCCGUAACAAUAACGGUCCUAAGGUAGCGAAAUUCCUUGUCGGGUAAGUUCCGACCUGCACGAAUGGCGUAACGAUGGCCACACUGUCUCCUCCUGAGACUCAGCGAAGUUGAAAUGUUUGUGAUGAUGCAAUCUCCCCGCGGAAAGACGGAAAGACCCCAUGAACCUUUACUGUAGCUUUGUAUUGGACUUUGAACGGAUCUGUGUAGGAUAGGUGGGAGGCUUUGAAGCGGUGUCGCUAGACAUCGUGGAGCCAACGUUGAAAUACCACCCUGGUGCGUUUGAGGUUCUAACCUGGAUCCCUUAUCGGGAUUGGGGACAGUGCAUGGUAGGCAGUUUGACUGGGGCGGUCUCCUCCCAAAGCGUAACGGAGGAGUUCGAAGGUACGCUAGUUACCGUCGGACAUCGUGACGAUAGUGCAAUGGCAUAAGCGUGCUUAACUGCGAGACUGACAAGUCGAGCAGAUGCGAAAGCAGGACAUAGUGAUCCGGUGGUUCUGUAUGGAAGGGCCAUCGCUCAACGGAUAAAAGGUACUCUGGGGAUAACAGGCUGAUACCGCCCAAGAGUUCAUAUCGACGGCGGUGUUUGGCACCUCGAUGUCGGCUCAUCUCAUCCUGGGGCUGUAGCCGGUCCCAAGGGUAUGGCUGUUCGCCAUUUAAAGAGGUACGUGAGCUGGGUUUAAAACGUCGUGAGACAGUUUGGUCCCUAUCUUCCGUGGGCGCUGCAGAUUUGAGGAAGCCUGCUCCUAGUACGAGAGGACCGGAGUGGACACACCUCUGGUGUACCGGUUGUCACGCCAGUGGCAUCGCCGGGUAGCUAUGUGUGGAAGAGAUAACCGCUGAAAGCAUCUAAGCGGGAAACUCGUUUCAAGAUGAGAUCUGCCGGGGCCUUGAGCCCCCUAAAGAGUCGUUCAAGACCAGGACGUUGAUAGGCUGGGUGUGGAAGCGCAGUAAUGCGUUAAGCUAACCAGUACUAAUUGCUCGUGCGGCUUGAUCA
Molecule: ribosomal RNA, 1496 nt
Filed under: metagenome
Description: bacterial LSU rRNA
Rfam family: Bacterial large subunit ribosomal RNA
Source: RNAcentral